UACGGGGGGGGCAAGCGUUGUUCGGAAUUACUGGGCGUAAAGGGCUCGUAGGCGGCCAACUAAGUCGGACGUGAAAUCCCUCGGCUCAACCGGGGAACUGCGUCCGAUACUGGAUGGCUUGAGUUCGGGAGAGGGAUGCGGAAUUCCAGGUGUAGCGGUGAAAUGCGUAGGUAUCUGGAGGAACACCGGUGGCGAAGGCGGCAUCCUGGACCGACACUGACGCUGAGGAGCGAAAGCCAGGGGAGCAAACGGG
RNAcentral lists this ribosomal RNA (253 nucleotides) under uncultured bacterium. RNAcentral describes it as "partial 16S ribosomal RNA". It matches the Rfam family "Bacterial small subunit ribosomal RNA", at positions 524 to 776 of the family's 1533-position model. The record is from RNAcentral.